AGUGAACGCUGGCGGUAGGCCUAACACAUGCAAGUCGAACGGCAGCACAGUAAGAGCUUGCUCUUACGGGUGGCGAGUGGCGGACGGGUGAGGAAUACAUCGGAAUCUACUUUUUCGUGGGGGAUAACGUAGGGAAACUUACGCUAAUACCGCAUACGACCUACGGGUGAAAGCAGGGGAUCUUCGGACCUUGCGCGAUUGAAUGAGCCGAUGUCGGAUUAGCUAGUUGGCGGGGUAAAGGCCCACCAAGGCGACGAUCCGUAGCUGGUCUGAGAGGAUGAUCAGCCACACUGGAACUGAGACACGGUCCAGACUCCUACGGGAGGCAGCAGUGGGGAAUAUAGGACAAUGGGCGCAAGCCUGAUCCAGCCAUACCGCGGGGGUGAAGAAGGCCUUCGGGUUGUAAAGCCCUUUUGUUGGGAAAGAAAAGCAGCAGGUUAAUACCCCGCUGUUCUGACGGUACCCAAAGAAUAAGCACCGGCUAACUUCGU
Molecule: ribosomal RNA, 491 nt
Filed under: uncultured bacterium
Lineage: Bacteria
Description: partial 16S ribosomal RNA
Rfam family: Bacterial small subunit ribosomal RNA
Source: RNAcentral